RNAcentral lists this ribosomal RNA (442 nucleotides) under uncultured bacterium. RNAcentral describes it as "partial 16S ribosomal RNA". It matches the Rfam family "Bacterial small subunit ribosomal RNA", at positions 338 to 795 of the family's 1533-position model. The record is from RNAcentral.
CCUACGUGUGGCAGCAGUGGGGAAUAUUGCACAAUGGGCGAAAGCCUGAUGCAGCAACGCCGCGUGAAGGAAGAAGGGUUUCGGCUCGUAAACUUCUAUCAACAGGGACGAAAGAAAUGACGGUACCUGAAUAAGAAGCCCCGGCUAACUACGUGCCAGCAGCCGCGGUAAUACGUAGGAUGCGAGCGUUAUCCGGAUUCAUUGGGUUUAAAGGGUGCGCAGGCGGGCCUUUAAGCCGGCGGUGAAAGCGCGGGGCGCAACCCCGCCGAGCCGGCGGAACUGGGGGCCUUGAGUGCGGAGGAGGCAUGCGGAAUGCGAGGUGUAGCGGUGAAAUGCGUAGAUAUUAGGAGGAACACCAGUGGCGAAGGCGGCCGACUGGACGGUGACUGACGCUGAGGCUCGAAAGCGUGGGGAGCAAACAGGAUUAGAUACCCGAGUAGUC